Non-coding RNA from Lactuca sativa (garden lettuce), 1965 nucleotides. The record is from RefSeq and is a predicted model, not a curated record. NCBI's taxonomy places the organism in Eukaryota, Viridiplantae, Streptophyta, Magnoliopsida, Asterales, Asteraceae.
UAAUUUCUUUUUUAUUCGAAUUCUUCCCAAAUAUACAAGGGCGAGGGCUCCGUUUUCUCAUAUCUGUUUCUACGCUCAAGAAUCGCCAUUCUCUAAUAUGUGUUUCUACACACAAGAAUCGUUCAAAAUCUGCUUUUGCUCUACGAUCUACACUACCGACACAGUGAUUAGUCUCCGAUUGAGUUGAUUUCAGCCACUGAAUGAGAUUGUGUAGGUUUUCCUUCCUAAUUUCUUGCUUAAUCGGCGCACAUGUAAGUGAAUUUCAAAGAACCGCGGGUAAAAUUAGGCCGUCUAUCACCAGAAAUUCGAGAGCAACUUGCUCUAUCGAUGAGUUCUUGUCCAACCGAUAGGAGGUGGGUAUAUAGAUUUGUUGUUCUACCGCCUCUGAUGAAUAGAAGCCACCGUCACCAACCUUCUCUGGCUCUUCGUGGUUGCCUUCCAGUCGAUGCUACGCCUUCUACUCCUCCAGAUAUCCUCUGACAUCGUCUGCUCCUCCGGAAUCCCUCUAACAUCUAUCCUUGUCAUUUGUGAGGGUGGGCAAGCAUAGUAAUAGCAACAGUUGCUAUUAGAAACUUAUUGGCUCCAAUCACAAUUAAUCAACACAAGGUUGCCUCAAAGUUAAAUGUGAGCUCUACUCAUUUGCCUGAGUAUAAUAGUAUAUUGAGUUAUACUGUUCAGAGGUUGCAUUGAUCUGUUGACAUUUUGCAUAUAGAUUUUAGGGCCAUAAUUGGAGCAGAUUCAACAAAAGAUGGAAGAUAAGGUAUGCCCAUCAUCAAACUUCUUCUGUCAUUUGUCAUCUUACAUGUUACAUAGAUGAAAAGUUCAUGUUUAUGCUGGUGCACUAUGUAUAAAGAGCCACCUUUGUCUAAAUUAUAAUAUAUUGUUUCAAAACGGAAGUUAAAGCUAUUGAAUAACAUGUUGUGAAUCAAUAUCCUUAAUUUGAUGCUACCAUAUAACUUUUGGUCAUGAAUAAUUAAUUAUUAAUGCAAAUAGAAGGCUGGGGGACUUCUUGCAUGUGCAGUGCUCUUAAUGUUUGUUUAUUGAAUUCGACAUGCUUAUCCUUUCAAGAAGAUGAAACUCUUUGGCCCUUGAUUAUUUUUAUUAUUAAAAAUUAUUAGUAACCUUUUCAGAGCAUGAGUAUACUUAAUUGACCAGGUUUUUCAUCCAAGCCCCUGUCUUUGUCAGCUUUUUCCUUGUUGUAAGUAAAACAUAUUAUAUCCCAAAUGGCAACUUCAAUCUUUUAAUAAUAUAUAAUACUACAUUUUUGGAAUGUGUUGUAAGUUUUGAGUAAGUAGUAAUGUGCAGAUUGAGAACAUGGUGGAAAAGGUUCCAUAUUUUCAAACUAGUGGGGCAUCUUGGUUCAUCGACCUUACCACUGUUGAUGCCUGCUAUAUUCUUCCUUUAUUGGCUGCCAUUUAAUGUUGGAUAACUGUCGAGUUUACCAUGCAGAAAGGUAUGCGUGGUGGUGUUUGGAAAAACAUUGCAAGGGAUGGUGCUGCUCUUACACUUCCUCUUAUAGAAUGAAACAAUUGGUUGAUAGUUGAUACUGGUCUGAAUGAAACAGAGGAAGUUUUAUCUUUAUUGAUUUCCAAAAGGUACCCAUUAAAAGGUAUUUUCUGAUACGGUAAAAUCAGUUAUCAUUUAUAACACAAUAUGUAUUUUUAUACAAACAAAUUUAUGAAGAUUCCUAGAUGAGCAAUGGGUCACACGUACCCGGAGCGAACCAGCUUGAAGAACGAAAACUCAAAACCCUAAAUUCUUGAAUUACCUUGACCGUACACUAGACAUGUUCGAGUAUGCUGGUUCAUGUUCCAGUUUUGGUCUGGACCUGUUCAGAGUCCCUAACUAAGUUUUUGUUGUUGUACCGAAUUGGAUUGUUUGUUAGGAUAGAUAUUUGUUGGAUCGCUUCAUAUCAAAACUUGGGUUUUAAAAUAGAUAUCAACUAAAAGUAGUUAUUUUUCUAUA